AGUUGAAUUUCUGGGUCACAUGGUAACUUUAUAUUUCACUUUUUGAAGACCCACCAUAUUGUUUUCCAUAGUGGCUGCAUUGUUUUACAUCCUCAUCAGCAAU
RNAcentral lists this microRNA precursor (103 nucleotides) under Marmota monax (woodchuck). Lineage: Eukaryota; Metazoa; Chordata; Mammalia; Rodentia; Sciuridae. The record is from RNAcentral.